The sequence is a ribosomal RNA, 862 nucleotides long. The stretch from base 266 to 420 matches the Rfam family "5.8S ribosomal RNA".
AAGGUUUCCGUAGGUGAACCUGCGGAAGGAUCAUUACCACACCUAAAAAACUUUCCACGUGAACCGUUUCAACCCAAUAGUUGGGGGUCUUAUUUGGCGGCGGCUGCUGGCUUAAUUGUUGGCGGCUGCUGCUGAGUGAGCCCUAUCAAAAAAAAGGCGAACGUUUGGGCUUCGGCCUGAUUUAGUAGUCUUUUUUUCUUUUAAACCCAUUCCUUAAUACUGAAUAUACUGUGGGGACGAAAGUCUCUGCUUUUAACUAGAUAGCAACUUUCAGCAGUGGAUGUCUAGGCUCGCACAUCGAUGAAGAACGCUGCGAACUGCGAUACGUAAUGCGAAUUGCAGGAUUCAGUGAGUCAUCGAAAUUUUGAACGCAUAUUGCACUUCCGGGUUAGUCCUGGAAGUAUGCCUGUAUCAGUGUCCGUACAUUAAACUUGACUUUCUUCCUUCCGUGUAGUCGGUGGAGGAGAUGUCAGAUGUGAAGUGUCUUGCGAUUGGUCUUCGGACCGGCUGCGAGUCCUUUUAAAUGUACUAAACUGAACUUCUCUUUGCUCGAAAAGUGGUGGCGUUGCUGGUUGUGAAGGCUGCUAUUGUGGCAAAUUGGCGACUGGUUUGUCUGCUGCGGCGUUAAUGGAAGAGUGUUCGAUUCGUGGUAUGGUUGGCUUCGGCUGAACAAUGCACUUAUUGGACGUUUUUCCUGCUGUGGCGUGAUGGACUGGUGAACCAUAGCUCGGUGGCUUGGCUUUUGAAUUGGCUUUGCUGUUGCGAAGUAGGGUGGCAGCUUCGGUUGUCGAGGGUCGAUCCAUUUGGGAACUUAAUGUGUACUUCGGUAUGCAUCUCAAUUGGACCUGAUAUCAGGCAAGAU